AGGGGGAAUGGUCGGGAUAGCUCAGUUG
Molecule: transfer RNA, 28 nt
Filed under: Matucana intertexta
Lineage: Eukaryota; Viridiplantae; Streptophyta; Magnoliopsida; Caryophyllales; Cactaceae
Description: partial tRNA-Phe
Source: RNAcentral